Long non-coding RNA from Gossypium arboreum, 1333 nucleotides. RefSeq lists it as uncharacterized. NCBI's taxonomy places the organism in Eukaryota, Viridiplantae, Streptophyta, Magnoliopsida, Malvales, Malvaceae. The record is from RefSeq and is a predicted model, not a curated record. The transcript has 2 exons.
AUCCAUACUUCGAUGCAUCAAGAUCAUAUAGCCUUCCUGGCAGAUAUCCUGGAGCACACAUGGAAAAAUAUUUGUUACGUGCUUCCUUAACAGCAAUUCGAAGUAAUACAAUAAAAGAGAAGGGGAAACAGGACAGAAAGUAAACAGAGAUUAUGUAUAUGCAUGUCCCAUUUUUUUUAAUUUGAAAUUCACUCUUGUUUAGUAGUCACAUUGAGUCUGAUCAAAUAUGAAAUCAAGUCGGGCUUCUAAAUAGGAGGUAAAGCUCUCCAAACAUUAUCUUUUCCAUCAAUAAAGCUCAAAGCCAAAACCUUGAUUAAGUAGCAUCGAGCUCUUUAUCCCUCCUCAACAAACAUGGCUCAGGAGCACAAUCGAUAAUAGGCACUCGAAACAUGAAAUACCUUGGGGUCCAACUGAUUGAGAGGGUGGAGGAAGCCAGACAUGAGUAACACCAGCAUUAGCGAUAUCAGGGAUGGAGUUCUUGAGAGAGCUAUACCAUCCUCCAGCCUUAUUACACGACUCCCAGUUGAAACCCUACACGUCAUCAUCAAUUAGUCGCAGAAUUGCAGAUAAGUCGUGAGGGUAGAUGAAAUAACAAGUGCAAGCUAUACCUGGAAUAGCAAGCUUGGAGACGUCAAAGAUGGAAAGAUAUAGAGGAAAAGAGAAAGGAAGCAAAGUGAAGUUACACAACUCAUUCUCUGUAUUUAUAUAUAUAUAUAUGUUUCGUUCUCUUAGCCUCAUGAGACGAGCUUGGUGAAUGGUGAUAUGCUUCUGGCUUUAUAUAGGCACCAAUUCCUGUUUCAAGAUGACACAAUGCACAUAUGGUUCAUUGUGAACACUGAAACUGAGGAAAUGUUUCUUUGCUUCAAUCUUGAUUCGCAAAUAAGUCAUCUGUAUUAAUUAUUGCCAUAUACAUAUUCUUAUCCUCUUUAUUUGGUUCCUGGAUAAAACAGCCAAAGAUGUUGGACAUAGCUGAGAAUAAUCAGGAGGAAGGUGUUUACACUAAAACACUUUAUUUUGCGGACAUUCGAGCAGUGGAGGCACAUUGUGGUGCAUGGGUAGCAAGUAGCGACUUCAUCAGUUAAAGCCAAAAACGCUUUUCGAUUCUUCGUUUCCCACGACACUCCAAAGGGGAAUGCUCGAUGAGGUCCCCGCAAGUAGGGUUUCUGGUGGGUCAUUUCAUACAUGGAGAUAAGCUCUUUUCUCACACGAAAUUGUCAUCAUCUACUUUACGUAAUAAAUAUUUAUCUUGCCUACACACAAAUCACGUUGUAACUUGCAAGUUGUGAAAAUUGCAAAAACAAAAAGUUCUUUUUUUUUUUCUGUCAAAGCAAAA